RNAcentral lists this ribosomal RNA (287 nucleotides) under uncultured Synechococcus sp. RNAcentral's name for it is "partial 16S ribosomal RNA". It matches the Rfam family "Bacterial small subunit ribosomal RNA", at positions 1245 to 1533 of the family's 1533-position model. Lineage: Bacteria; Bacillati; Cyanobacteriota; Cyanophyceae; Synechococcales; Synechococcaceae. The record is from RNAcentral.
GAGGAGACACGAGCGGAGCUUACAAUCCGGUAUCUGUGGCUCAGUUCAGAUCGUAGGCUGCUUCUCGCCUACGUGAAGGAGGAAUCGCUAGUAAUCGCAGGUCAGCAUACUGCGGUGAAUACGUUCCCGGGCCUUGUACACACCGCCCGUCACACCAUGGAAGUUGGCCACGCCCGAAGCCGUUACUCCAACCCUUGUGGAGGAGGACGUCGAAGGUGGGGCUGAUGACUGGGGUGAAGUCGUAACAAGGUAGCCGUACCGGAAGGUGCGGCUGGAUCACCUCCUAA